UUUUAUUCGUUUUCUCAAUUGUUUUGUUGAAAAUAAUUUUGCCGGGCCAUACAUCUUUUCGAAAAGCAAUGAAAAAAUUGCAAAUUUAGUAAGUUAUGCUAAUUAGCGACGUAAACUGACACAUUUGUAGGCACUGCAGAUGAAGACAAUUCUUGGUGAUAAUGCUGAAUGCAACCGACACCAGGCAUAUGGACACGGCAAUUUUUGACGGAUAAUUUGGCAGCUAUUCAAAAUUUUCCUUUUUUAUAAUUUUUUUAAUAAAAUAUAUUUUAAACUAAUUAAUAAAUACAUGUCUUAACUAAUAUUAAUGCCCUA
Long non-coding RNA from Stomoxys calcitrans (stable fly), 315 nucleotides. RefSeq lists it as uncharacterized. The transcript has 2 exons. Lineage: Eukaryota; Metazoa; Arthropoda; Insecta; Diptera; Muscidae. The record is from RefSeq and is a predicted model, not a curated record.